RNA transcript from Drosophila sulfurigaster albostrigata, 1528 nucleotides. It is a transcript of the gene named angiopoietin-related protein 7-like, with no coding region annotated. The record is from RefSeq and is a predicted model, not a curated record. NCBI's taxonomy places the organism in Eukaryota, Metazoa, Arthropoda, Insecta, Diptera, Drosophilidae. The transcript has 5 exons.
UUAGUAAGUGAUUAGUUGUGAGACGAAUCGAAGCUUCGAAGUGAGCCUUCAAAAUGAUUUUAAUUGCAAACGUAUUAACUAUAUUGUGGAUGGUUUCACAAGUGCAAAGCUCGUGUUUCGCAGGUUCAAAGGAAAUGGAUGAACAAUGCAGCACAUAUUGCUAUCAAGUAGUGAAACCUCUUUUGCAACACGUCAACUCGGCCAACUCGAAAGAGAAUAGAUUCGUCGAACUAAAUAACAAGAUUAAAGAGCUAGAAGCGAAAAUAGUGAAUUUAAAUGAAAUGGCAGAGCAAAACGAUGUGCAAUUGGCAUUGCAAGCGCAGAUAAUUGCCUUGUAUAAAAACAAUACGAACAACUAUGAAAAACGCAUUGCGGAACUUGAGAGUGAAAACACAAAACGAAAACCCAAAGUUAAAACUAAUAAAGAUGAUACACUUAACGAUUCUUAUUCAAUGCCAAUGGAAGUCUCUUCAUUGGAGAAAUUUGUUCACCUAGAUGAAAAGUAUCAUCCGGUGCCAACAUGUCCCAGUGGUUUAACUGGCCUUGUUGAAAUUCCAGUUUACAUACGAAAUACCAACUAUUACUCAUGUGAUUCUAGCGUUGCUGGUCCUGGCUGGACAGUUAUGCAACGGCGUAUAAAUGGUAGAUUGAAUUUUAAUCGUAAUUGGGCUGAUUACAGAAAAGGAUUCGGUGAAUUAAAUGGCGAGUUUUUCAUGGGUCUCGAACAGAUUCAUUUACUGACCACCUCGCAACCUCACGAGCUGUAUAUUUUACUUGUGGACUUUGCGAAUAGAGAACGUUAUGCCAGAUACAGUGACUUUUCCAUUGGCAGCGAGGAAGAAUCCUAUGAGUUAAAGGAACUUGGAUUAUUCUCCGGCAAUGCUGGAGAUGCUCUGCGCAGUCAUGAACUCACACAAUUCUCCACUCCAGAUAGGGAUAAUGAUCUGGACGAAGGUAGUUGUGCUGAGAAUUUCAAAUCUGGUUGGUGGUUUGGCAAGUGCUAUGAAUGUAAUCUUAAUGGAGAAUACACUAUAGCGGACCCUCGAAGUGAUGAUCUUCAGGGUAUUGAGUGGCGAUCUUGGAAGCACAAGCCGUUGAAAUUCAGUCAAAUGAUGAUAAGGUCAAAGACAAAAAUCAACAAGAGUCAAAUUCUGCUAUGACGUUUUGAUUUCUCACCAAGGAUUAUAAGAAGCUAAACUUGGGUUUUUUAAUAUAAAAUAAAUAUAUUUUUCAUUUACCAUGGAUCACGAUAAAUUGUAUAGAAAUAGGAGAUACUGUUUUGUGUCCUUUUUUUGAUCAAAUUCCUAAAGUUUAUAAUUAUUAUCAAGAAUACGCGUUUCGAGUUUUACAAUUCUUUUUAAUGUAUUCUAUUGCACGAUCCAGCGAAAUGUUAACAGUCCCAAGUAAAAAUAUGAGCUGCUUACAUGUAAAUAUCGAUAGCUUGUAAGAUUCAGCGAUGUUUCCAAAACAAUAGUUUUUAAAAAUAAAUGUUAUGCGAUUAAUUGGUGUAAUAAUAAGUAAUUUUAUU